GACGAACGCUGGCGGCGUGCCUAAUACAUGCAAGUUGAGCGCUCAAGCUUGGUGCUUGUUCCAACUGUAUUAGCAGCGGACGGGUGAGUAACACGUGGAGAAUUUGCCUUUGAGCGUGGGACAACUUCUGGAAACGAAUGCUAAUACCGCAUAAUAACUUUAACCACAAGUUUUAAGUUUGAAAGAUGCUAUUGCAUCACUCAAUAGUUAUCCCGCGUUGUAUUAGCUAGUUGGUUAGGUAAAGGCUUACCAAGGCCACGAUGCAUAGCCGACCUGAGAGGGUGAUCGGCCACAUUGGAACUGAGACACGGCCCAGACUCCUACGGGAGGCAGCAGUAGGGAAUCUUCCGCAAUGGGCGAAAGCCUGACGGAGCAACGCCGCGUGAGUGAUGAAGGUCUUCGGAUCGUAAAACUCUGUUAUUAGGGAAGAACAUAGGUGGAAGUAAAAGUGCACAUCUUGACGGUACCUAAUCAGAAAGGGACGGCUAACUACGUG
This 496-nucleotide ribosomal RNA is filed under the name uncultured bacterium. RNAcentral's name for it is "partial 16S ribosomal RNA". It matches the Rfam family "Bacterial small subunit ribosomal RNA", at positions 28 to 507 of the family's 1533-position model. The record is from RNAcentral.